GGCCCGUGACAUUAUUUGUUACAAUUUGUCGCCUUUGGAAUUGUUGCACGAGUUCGCGGGCCCAGAAAGAUAAUUCCGGUUAAUCAUAGGCUAAAUCCCGGUAAUCAAUACCUUAGUCUAUUUCAUGCCCGGCAAACAUAU
Molecule: small nucleolar RNA, 141 nt
Filed under: Drosophila ananassae
Lineage: Eukaryota; Metazoa; Arthropoda; Insecta; Diptera; Drosophilidae
Description: snoRNA:GF26009
Source: RNAcentral